UACAGAGGGUGCGAGCGUUAAUCGGAAUUAUUGGGCGUAAAGAGCGUGUAGGCGGCCCGAUUAGUCCGCUGUGAAAGUCCAGGGCUCAACCCUGGAAUGCCGGUGGAUACUGUCGGGCUAGAGUCCGGAAGGGGCGAGUGGAAUUCCUGGUGUAGCGGUGAAAUGCGCAGAUAUCAGGAGGAACACCGGUGGCGAAGGCGGGUCUCUGGGCCGAUACUGACGCUGAGGAGCGAAAGCGUGGGGAGCGAACAGG
This 253-nucleotide ribosomal RNA is filed under the name uncultured bacterium. RNAcentral's name for it is "partial 16S ribosomal RNA". It matches the Rfam family "Bacterial small subunit ribosomal RNA", at positions 524 to 776 of the family's 1533-position model. The record is from RNAcentral.